GAUGAAGAACGUAGUGAAAUGCGAUAAGUAAUGUGAAUUGCAGAAUUCAGUGAAUCAUCGAAUCUUUGAACGCAUAUUGCGCUCUCUGGUAUUCCGGAGAGCAUGCUUGUUUGAGUAUCAGUAAACACCUCAACUCCCUUUUCUUUUUUGAAAUUGGAGCUGGACUUGAGUGAUCCCAACGCUUUCUUCCAAGAAAGUGGCGGGUUGCUUGAAAUGCAGGUGCAGCUGAACUUUUCUCUGAGCUAUAAGCAUAUCUAUUUAGUCUGCCUAAAAAACAGAUUAUUACCUUUGCUGCAGCUAACAUAAAGGAGACUAGUUCUUGUGCUGACUGAUGCAGGAUUCACAGAGACAGCUUCGGCUGACUUUGUAAACUCGAUCUCAAAUCAAGUAAGACUACCCGCUGAACUUAAGCAUAUCAAUAAGCGGAGGA
Molecule: unclassified non-coding RNA, 430 nt
Filed under: soil metagenome
Description: partial contains 5.8S ribosomal RNA, internal transcribed spacer 2, and large subunit ribosomal RNA
Rfam family: 5.8S ribosomal RNA (bases 1-120)
Source: RNAcentral